UUGCUUUCUGUCACCUUUAGUUGCUCCAAUGCUCUCUCCUUGUCACCAGUUCGAAUGUAAAACAAAGAUUUGGCCAAAUGAGCCUCUCGAACUUCACUUUCACCUAAGUUUUCUUCAGCAUCAGCAAUCUUCUCCUCGAGGCUCUUGAGCUCCUCCUCAUUCUUUGCACGCAUCGAAUCCAAAAAGCUCUGAUCCUUCUCCAGUAACCCUUCGCCCACUAGGGUUUCGUACAACGGCACCAUAUCGUCAGCUUUGACGGCCGCAAAGACCUCCUCCUUGAGGCGAACCUUCUCAAUGUCAUGGACAUCGGGGUGGGUUAGGAGGAAGCGCUUGUGAGCGAGUACGAGGUGCGGUUGUUGAGUUCCCUCUUGCCCUUCCAUUACAGGUGACUCAGUGAGUUAGAUUCGUGAGCUUCCUUUCCUGGGGGGUUUCGCU
This 435-nucleotide unclassified non-coding RNA is filed under the name Hevea brasiliensis (rubber tree). Lineage: Eukaryota; Viridiplantae; Streptophyta; Magnoliopsida; Malpighiales; Euphorbiaceae. The record is from RNAcentral.